Molecule: long non-coding RNA, 315 nt
Filed under: Brassica napus (rape)
Lineage: Eukaryota; Viridiplantae; Streptophyta; Magnoliopsida; Brassicales; Brassicaceae
Description: long non-coding RNA (BNAP_LNC017034)
Source: RNAcentral
GGGAGCAUGUUCCCUUUAUUGUCUUUAGUUUUUGAGAAAGCUUGGAACAUGUUCCAACUUAUCUCUUUAUAAGUUUGUGUCAAACUCUUUCUAAGUUAUGCAAUCUUUUAUCUAAAGCCUUAUCUCUUUCAUUUUGUUGCUUGCCGAGUGUUUGAUUGUUCUGGUGUGUAAUAUCCAGAGUCAAGAGUGUCUAUCUCGGUGUGUCAUAUCCGAUCUAGCCACUUAGGAGUAUCAAGAAGCCUCUCCGCAGCCUCUUGUGUCACCAACCAUCCCACACGCCUUGAUCAGAUCGAGCCUCGUCUCUCUCUUGCAAGG